AAUCCAUAGGUUAAUGAGGCGAACCGGGGGAACUGAAACAUCUAAGUACCCCGAGGAAAAGAAAUCAACCGAGAUUCCCCCAGUAGCGGCGAGCGAACGGGGAGGAGCCCAGAGCCUGAAUCAGCAUGUGUGUUAGUGGAAGCGUCUGGAAAGGCGCGCGAUACAGGGUGACAGCCCCGUACACAAAAGCGCAUGUGCUGUGAGCUCGAUGAGUAGGGCGGGACACGUGGUAUCCUGUCUGAAUAUGGGGGGACCAUCCUCCAAGGCUAAAUACUCCUGACUGACCGAUAGUGAACCAGUACCGUGAGGGAAAGGCGAAAAGAACCCCGGCGAGGGGAGUGAAAAAGAACCUGAAACCGUGUACGUACAAGCAGUGGGAGCCCCACCACCAAAGCAUUCUCUGGUGUUGAAGGCCCUGCAAAGCAGCAUCGCGGUGGCGGAGCGUCGUUUGCGACGCCCAACGCACAAAACAAGCGGUGAGUGCUUUGGGGUGG
This 494-nucleotide ribosomal RNA is filed under the name Salmonella enterica subsp. enterica serovar Weltevreden. RNAcentral describes it as "partial 23S ribosomal RNA". It matches the Rfam family "Bacterial large subunit ribosomal RNA", at positions 161 to 596 of the family's 2925-position model. Lineage: Bacteria; Pseudomonadati; Pseudomonadota; Gammaproteobacteria; Enterobacterales; Enterobacteriaceae. The record is from RNAcentral.